RNAcentral lists this ribosomal RNA (501 nucleotides) under uncultured bacterium. Its description in RNAcentral is "partial 16S ribosomal RNA". It matches the Rfam family "Bacterial small subunit ribosomal RNA", at positions 30 to 503 of the family's 1533-position model. The record is from RNAcentral.
AUUGAACGCUGGCGGAAUGCUUUACACAUGCAAGUCGAACGGCAGCACGGACUUCGGUCUGGUGGCGAGUGGCGAACGGGUGAGUAAUAUAUCGGAACGUAUCCAAUAAUGGGGGAUAACUAAUCGAAAGGUUGGCUAAUACCGCAUACGUCCUACGGGAGAAAGCUAGGGACCUUCGGGCCUGGCGUUAAUGGAGCGGCCGAUAUCGGAUUAGCUAGUUGGUGAGGUAAAGGCUCACCAAGGCGACGAUCCGUAGCUGGUCUGAGAGGACGACCAGCCACACUGGAACUGGGACACGGUCCAGACUCCUACGGGAGGCAGCAGUGGGGAAUUUUGGACAAUGGGCGAAAGCCUGAUCCAGCCAUUCCGCGUGAGUGAAGAAGGCCUUCGGGUUGUAAAGCUCUUUCGCAAGAGAAGAAAACUUACCCUCUAACAUAGGGUGAGGUUGACUUAAUACGUUGGACUCAUGACGGUACCGUAAGAAUAAGCACCGGCUAACUA